GGAGAGAUGGCCGAGAGGCCGAAGGCGCUCGCCUGCUAAGCGAGUAUGUGGGGAAACCUGCAUCCCGGGUUCGAAUCCCGGUCUCUCCGCCA
This 92-nucleotide transfer RNA is filed under the name Desulfobacteraceae bacterium. Its description in RNAcentral is "tRNA-Ser". It matches the Rfam family "tRNA". From Rfam's summary of the family: Transfer RNA (tRNA) molecules are approximately 80 nucleotides in length. Their secondary structure includes four short double-helical elements and three loops (D, anti-codon, and T loops). Lineage: Bacteria; Pseudomonadati; Thermodesulfobacteriota; Desulfobacteria; Desulfobacterales; Desulfobacteraceae. The record is from RNAcentral.